UUUCGGGGAGGAAAUGUGCCGCCGACGCGGUGGGGUGGGACAGAGGGGAAGGGACACUGGUGUCAGAGCGCCUGCUUCCCUUCUGAUGCCUUGACUCCCUGCUGGGCUUACAGCACACACGGGGCUUGGGGAAGCCCUGCGAUCUGCGACAAACCUCAGAACCCAUCUGGAAGUGAGGGGCGCAGGGGGCUACCAGAAACUGUGGGCCCUGCACACGCGAAGCAAGCGGAGGAGACUGAGGCACAGAAAGCUGAAAUGACUGAGGGGAAGACACAAAGGCAUCCGGGCCAGCCCUAGAAGUCUCGGGGUCAACUCUGAGUGUGAAGAAGUGCUCUGCAGCACCCUUGGGGAUCCCCAGUGAUGCCCUCCCCUCGCCACGCUGUGGAGGAAGCUGCGGAGUCCUUGGUCUCGGUGCUGCGGUCGGCUUGCUGUGUGUCGGGGCGGUCACAUGCCUCUCUGAGCUUUGGUUUCAUCAUCUGGGAAAGGAUGGCAUUAGUCUUAAUCACGGACGGCAAACCAGUGAUUCGUGAGCUCAAUGUGGUUUUUCGAAUCACCCGUUUUCCCCUUCCUUUCUUGUGGACGUUUCAAACUCGCGUGAAGCAGAGGGAUGAGUCCAGCGGAAGUUCACAGCUCAGCUUCUACGAUUAUGAACAUGCACCUGGUUUUGUUCCAACUAUUUCUACUCUCCACCCACGUUCCCCCUAGAUUAUAUCAGAGCCAAUUACAG
This 727-nucleotide long non-coding RNA is filed under the name Equus caballus (horse). RNAcentral describes it as "lncRNA (ENSECAG00000044343.1)". Lineage: Eukaryota; Metazoa; Chordata; Mammalia; Perissodactyla; Equidae. The record is from RNAcentral.